Molecule: ribosomal RNA, 257 nt
Filed under: uncultured bacterium
Lineage: Bacteria
Description: partial 16S ribosomal RNA
Rfam family: Bacterial small subunit ribosomal RNA
Source: RNAcentral
UGGCGGACGGGUGAGUAAUGUCUGGGAAACUGCCUGAUGGAGGGGGAGUAACUACUGGAAACGGUAGCUAAUACCGCAUAACGUCGCAAGACCAAAGAGGGGGACCUUCGGGCCUCUUGCCAUCGGAUGUGCCCAGAUGGGAUUAGCUAGUAGGUGGGGUAACGGCUCACCUAGGCGACGAUCCCUAGCUGGUCUGAGAGGACGACCAGCCACACUGGAACUGAGACACGGUCCAGACUCCUACGGGAGGCAGCAUG